GGGCCCGCACAAGCAGUGGAGCGUGUGGUUUAAUUGGAAGCUAAGCCAAGAACCUUACCAGGGUUUGACAUGCUGGUGGUACGGACUCGAAAGAGGAAGGACCUUAUCGAAAGAUGAGGAGCCAGCACAGGUGGUGCACGGUCGUCGUCAGCUCGUGCCGUGAGGUGUUGGGUUAAGUCCCGCAACGAGCGCAACCCCUACUCUUAGUUACCAGCACGAAAGGUGGGGACUCUAAGAGGACCGCCGGCGACGAGCCGGAGGAAGGAGGGGAUGACGUCAGAUACUCGUGCCCCUUAUGCUCUGGGCGACACACGCGCUACAAUGGUAUGGACAACGGGAAGCCAGGUAGCGAUACUGAGCAAAACCCUAAAACCAUACCGCAGUUCAGAUUGUGGGCUGAAACCCGCCCACAUGAAGCUGGAAUUGCUAGUAAUCGCGGAUCAGCCACGCCGCGGUGAAUACGUUCCCGGGCCUU
Molecule: ribosomal RNA, 475 nt
Filed under: uncultured bacterium
Lineage: Bacteria
Description: bacterial SSU rRNA
Rfam family: Bacterial small subunit ribosomal RNA
Source: RNAcentral